CUGGCUCAGGAUGAACGCUGGCGGCGUGCCUAACACAUGCAAGUCGAACGGAGAUUU
RNAcentral lists this ribosomal RNA (57 nucleotides) under Butyrivibrio sp. INlla16. RNAcentral's name for it is "16S rRNA. Bacterial SSU". The record is from RNAcentral. Lineage: Bacteria; Bacillati; Bacillota; Clostridia; Lachnospirales; Lachnospiraceae.